Molecule: ribosomal RNA, 483 nt
Filed under: uncultured bacterium
Lineage: Bacteria
Description: partial 16S ribosomal RNA
Rfam family: Bacterial small subunit ribosomal RNA
Source: RNAcentral
UUGAACGCUGGCGGCAGGCCUAACACAUGCAAGUCGAGCGGAAGAAGGGAGCUUGCUCCUGGAUUCAGCGGCGGACGGGCGAGUAAUGCCUAGGAAUCUGCCUGGCAGUGGGGGAUAACGUCCGGAAACGGGCGCUAAUACCGCAUACGUCCUGAGGGAGAAAGUGGGGGAUCUUCGGACCUCACGCUCUCAGAUGAGCCUAGGUCGGAUUAGCUAGUUGGUGGGGUAAAGGCCUACCAAGGCGACGAUCCGUAACUGGUCUGAGAGGAUGAUCAGUCACACUGGAACUGAGACACGGUCCAGACUCCUACGGGAGGCAGCAGUGGGGAAUAUUGGACAAUGGGCGAAAGCCUGAUCCAGCCAUGCCGCGUGUGUGAAGAAGGUCUUCGGAUUGUAAAGCACUUUUGGUGGGGAGGAAAAGCAGUAGGUUAAUACCUUGCUGUUUUGACGUUACCAACAGAAUAAGCACCGGCUAACUUCGUG